Molecule: unclassified non-coding RNA, 321 nt
Filed under: uncultured bacterium
Lineage: Bacteria
Description: contains 16S-23S intergenic spacer region
Source: RNAcentral
GAAUGACCGUGAUCGCCAUGUCGCGCAUCUUCUGAUACUCAACGUCCGUCAGCGUCUGCGCGGGUGCGACCGUAAUCGAGUCUCCUGUAUGCACACCCAUCGGAUCGAAAUUCUCGAUCGAGCAAAUGACCACCACGUUGUCAGCCAGGUCCCGCAUUACCUCAAGCUCAAACUCUUUCCAGCCGAGAAUUGAUUCCUCAAUCAGGACUUCGUGCAUCGGCGAAGCUGCGAGGCCACCGCGGACGAUAUCUUCAAAUUCUUCCGGGUUGUAAGCCGUUCCUCCACCACUGCCACCCAGAGUGAAAGAAGGGCGGAUAAUUG